AUUGAACGCUGGCGGCAUGCUUUACACAUGCAAGUCGAACGGUAACAGGGUGCUUGCACCGCUGACGAGUGGCGAACGGGUGAGUAAUACAUCGGAAUGUACCCAGUAAUGGGGGAUAACGCUUCGAAAGGAGUGCUAAUACCGCAUACGCCCUGAGGGGGAAAGUGGGGGACCGCAAGGCCUCACGUUAUUGGAGCAGCCGAUGGCUGAUUAGCUAGUUGGUGAGGUAAAGGCUCACCAAGGCGACGAUCAGUAGCGGGUCUUAGAGGACGAUCCGCCAAACUGGAACUGAGACACGGUCCAGACUCCUACGGGAGGCAGCAGUGGGGAAUCUUGGACAAUGGGCGAAAGCCUGAUCCAGCAAUGCCGCGUGCGUGAAGAAGGACUUCGGGUUGUAAAGCGCUUUUGUCUGGGAGCAAAUCCUGGCCUCUAAUACAGGUCGGGGAUGAGAGUACCAGAAGAAUAAGGACCGGCUAACUACGUGCCAGCCGCCGCGGUAA
RNAcentral lists this ribosomal RNA (500 nucleotides) under uncultured bacterium. RNAcentral's name for it is "partial 16S ribosomal RNA". It matches the Rfam family "Bacterial small subunit ribosomal RNA", at positions 30 to 523 of the family's 1533-position model. The record is from RNAcentral.